This 445-nucleotide ribosomal RNA is filed under the name Mecistoscelis sp. 19050b-26. RNAcentral describes it as "partial large subunit ribosomal RNA". It matches the Rfam family "Bacterial large subunit ribosomal RNA", at positions 1944 to 2600 of the family's 2925-position model. The record is from RNAcentral. Lineage: Eukaryota; Metazoa; Arthropoda; Insecta; Hemiptera; Miridae.
GACUGUACAAAGGUAGCAUAAUCAUUUGUCUCUUAAUUGGGGACUGGUAUGAAAGGUCGGAUGAAAAAUUAACUUUCUUAUUUUUAUAUAAAAAAAUUAAUUUUUGUGUCAAAAAGCAUAAAUAUUUGUGGAGGACGAGAAGACCCUAUAGAAUUUUAUUUAUUCAUUUUUAUAUUUUAAUUUAGUUUUAUUUUAUACCCAAAAAUGAAUAAAUUAUGUUGGGGUGACAAAAAAAAUAUUAUAACUUUUUUAUUUUGGCUCAUAUAUAUAUGAAUUUUGACCCUAUAAUAUAGGUUAUAAGAUUAAAUUACCUUAGGGAUAACAGCGUUAUUUUUUUGGAGAGUACUUAUCGAUAAAAAAGUUUGCGACCUCGAUGUUGGAUUAAAAUAAGGAGCAGGGGUAGAAUAUUGCUUAUCUAGGUCUGUUCGACCUAUAAAAUUUUACA